CGUCAUAUGUCUGCCAGGUGUCUGAGUUGACGGGCUUAAAUACCUCGCAGCUUACCAGUACAGAACAACAUCACGGCCGCUCGGUGACGGAGUCCUUUGUCCUUUCAGCGUCCUUCCUUAGAUAACAGGAUCUCAUUGGUGCCAUCAAGUCCGGAUCAAGUGCAGCUGCAAUGUUCCUGGUGGGACUUAUCCUGGAUGAGAGGUUGUCCGAUGCCAUCUCCACGGCUAGCUGUACGGUGACGUCCAGAAUGAUCGGUGCUUCUGUAUACACCCUGCCAGAGGACCUGAAACUAAGAUAAGUUCUUGUUUGUUUUAUUGGGUGUAAAACGGAAACAUCUCGCAGAGAUCGAUGGGCUGGGAAUGACUUGUCGGUGGCAUGAUAAGAAGGAAAUAAUUUGCGCGGCCUUACAAAAAAAGCAAGAAGCCUGUCUUUAACUAAUUGAAAUUUCGCUUUGUUGCUUCCAGGACCCUAUUGGUGCCAUCAAGGUGACGUCCAGAAAAAUCGGUGCUCGGGUUUACGCCCAGCCAAGGAACCUGAAACUAAGUUAAGUACUCUUAUGUCUUAUGGGGUGUAAAAUGGAAAUAUAUAGCAGAGAUCGGCAUGAUAGGAAGUAAAUUAGUUGUGACGUUUCGUUAAUUGAAUUCUUGGUUGUAGGUAAGGUGCUUGAGUGUGUUCUGUUGACAUUCCGAGCGAUGUUGUCGGGAGGGGUUUACAUUAGGACAUUUUGUAAAUGGGGGCUCCUUUUGCAUUCAGGGCUUCAGUCCGUUUCUGUGGUGUACAGGCCUGGUGUGUGGCUGGUUUGGUUUCUGUGAUUAUGUCGAAGGCCGGAAUGGUAUUCGGUCAAUUUUUUCAAAUUCUGUUCUUUAUAAACAGGGUUUUCCCUGGUUCACCAUCUGUUGUCAUUUCUGUUUUAUGUCAUGGUCAGUGGUUGUCGGGGACCUAGACCAUAACAUAAUCUGCCUCGUGUUGUUUUCUUGGGUCCCGAACCAAGAGAACGGCACAGGCCAGAAAGGAGGACAGGUGGCUGAAGAGCCUAUUUAAUAUUAAUAGUUUAGUCGUUUAGAUAAAACUUGCCAUCUCGGCGUCGACAUAGUCACAGAAACUGAAUCAGCUAUGCAUUGGGCUUGUAUAUCACAGAAGCAGACUGAAGCAAUGAGUGCAGAAGUAGCAAUUGCUCUCGAAAAUUCAAGCAAAACAAAGGCAGCAUUAUGCCAAAAGCAGCAUUACUUAGGAUUUAACCAAAGCACACUCAACACCCUGCCAACAAACAAGAGGUAUAAUGAUUUCUCUCGCUAUUUCUAUGUUAAAACUAGAACUGAAAUUACAAUGACAAAACAAGUGAACUUCCUGUCAUGCCAAUACACGUAGCUGGGAUUUCUUUUAUGUAUAUUGUUAUGUAUAGUCUUCCCAUAUUUCUGGGUUAGGUUUAAUUUUGUCUCGUCUUUUCUCCCGAGGAUCAUCGCAAUGUAGAAGAAUUGUCUGGAUGCGGAAAGGGAGGCGAGGACUGGCGAAGGAAGGUGCCGAACGUGAGCGAACGGGCUUCACAGUCUUCUAUGACAAGAACUGUCUAGUUGGUAAGCGAGGAAAGGUGCUGGCUGGGAAUGGAGGUGUAAAGCGUCACCGCUACUGAAAGUGAUUCGUGACAGCAUCCGGUGCAUCACCAAGCCAAGGAGGCACAAGUGUUUCCCAACAUAGACAAGAAAUGUCCAGACGCCAUAAGGGAGGAGAGGUGCUGGUAAUGGAGGUGUAAAGCAUCACCGUCACUGACAAUAUCGUGCUUCGUGACAACACCGAGUGCAUCACCAAGGAGAUUAGGACUGGUUGAACAGUUAGGCUGUGAGUCAGAUGAUGCUUGCUCACCUUCCGGCCCAGCUCUUCUUCUGCACCUGUGUGGGAGGGAGGAAGCAGACCAUGAGACUGUUGAUAGUCACAAUAAGUUGGGAAGGAGACAUCUCUCAGCAGCUUCCGGGACCGCAUUGAUGCCAUGAAUUCCUGAUCAACUGCAGCUACAACGUUCAUGGUGGGACUUAUCCUGGUGAGAGAUUGUCCGACACCAUCUCCACUGUGACGUCCAGAAAGAUCGGUGCUCGUGUGUGCGCCCUGUGAUCUGAGUGAUUUAGCCAGUAGGGCGUUAGGACAUUUUGUAAAUGGAGGCUCCUUUUGCCCUCAGGGUUUCUGUGGUGUACAAGCUUGGUGUGUGGCUGAUUUUGUUUUUGUGACUGUGUCGAUGGCCAGGAUUGUAUUCAGUCAGUUACUGUUAAUUUUGUUCUUUAUAAACAGGGUUUUCCCUGGUUCACCAUUUGUUGUCAUUUCUGUUUUAUGUCAUGGUCAGUGGUUGUCGGGGACCUAGACCAUUACAUAAUCUGCCUCGUGUUGUUUUCUUGGGUCCCGAACCAGGAGAACGGCACAGGCCAGAAAAGAAGGCAUGUGGUUGAAAAAGCCUUCUUUAUAUUAGUAUUUAUGUCCUUUAGAUAAUGCUAGACUUCUUGGUAUCGACGCAGUCACAGAAACCGAAUCAAUACAAACAGAAUGCAAAGUGUACAAUUUUACAGUUAUCAUGUAUAACACGAUGUUAGAUACAUGUACAUAUAGUUCAGCUUGCUUACGUUAGGUGUUAGGUAUAGCUUUCCCAAUAUUUCUGAGUGAAGGUACAUUGGCUUUUUUUUUGGAAAGAGGCUUGGAGAUGUAAUGUUGUUUAGACGCUUUUUGUUAGCAGCCUCUGUUUCUGAGUGUAUUUGUUUGAUGCCAUUCCAGUACAGAGGUGGCUGACGCUAGAAUGUUUUUUUUUUUUGUGUUUUAUUUUAUUUUAUUGCCGCAGAAAAGUGGUCUACAUGUUGGAAUUCAGUAAAUGUCAGCAUUGUCCGUUUAUUGUGUAGAGGUUGUAGCCCUUUAAAUCAGUUGUUUGGAAAUUUCCCAAGUAACUGAGGCUAAGGCUGGCGCUGACACUAACACAAGAAGACACAUGCACACAUACACACUAACAGACUAACGCCACCAAACACAACAGUUUUGACGGACACUAAUAAUCAGCUGCCUUAGCCUUAGACUGAAACAAUUCUAUGAUUCUUUAAGUACAAAGGCUCCACGCUACCUCUAUACCAUGUACUGACAAUGUCAAUAUUUACUGAUUUUAGCUUUUUUAUCCACUAUGUCCUAGAGUGAGGGUAGUUGUAAACCUAAAUGAGUUAGAUGUUCAUUUUUUUUAUGCUAGAGUAUCUUCAUUUAUUAUGCAGUUCAUGUAUUAUACACUUUGUAUUUCUCUAUUUUGCUAUUAAACAAAUAUGCUGAAAUCG
Long non-coding RNA from Branchiostoma floridae (Florida lancelet), 3294 nucleotides. RefSeq lists it as uncharacterized. NCBI's taxonomy places the organism in Eukaryota, Metazoa, Chordata, Leptocardii, Amphioxiformes, Branchiostomatidae. The transcript has 6 exons. The record is from RefSeq and is a predicted model, not a curated record.